This is a small nucleolar RNA of Manihot esculenta (cassava), 84 nucleotides long. RefSeq annotates it as small nucleolar RNA snoR53Y. The record is from RefSeq and is a predicted model, not a curated record. The transcript has a single exon. NCBI's taxonomy places the organism in Eukaryota, Viridiplantae, Streptophyta, Magnoliopsida, Malpighiales, Euphorbiaceae.
GUUCCCAAUGAUGCUUCUUUGUGAACCAUGCUAAUGCUGAUCAUUGUAUGACUGAGAUCACUCUCUCUACUUGCUGAGGGAACC